This 2608-nucleotide ribosomal RNA is filed under the name uncultured Cafeteria. RNAcentral's name for it is "sp. partial Bacterial large subunit ribosomal RNA". It matches the Rfam family "Bacterial large subunit ribosomal RNA". Lineage: Eukaryota; Bigyra; Bicosoecida; Cafeteriaceae. The record is from RNAcentral.
CGGUGGAUGCCUAGGCAUGCAGAGGCGAAGAAGGACGUGUAAAGCUGCGAUAAGCUGCGGGGAGUUGCAAAAGAACUGUGAUCCGCGGAUUUCCGAAUGGGGCAACCCACUCUAAGUUAAAUUAGGGUAUCCUUUCGAGGAGGCAUACCCGGGGAACUGAAACAUCUAAGUACCCGGAGGAAAAGAAAUCAACCGAGAUUCCCCAAGUAGCGGCGAGCGAACGGGGACCAGCCCUUAAGCGAUACAACUGACAGACGAACAAGCUGGGAAGCUUGACGAUACAGGGUGAUAGUCCCGUAGUCGAAGUCUGAGUAUCGUGAAAUCGAGUAGGUCGGGGCACGAGAAACCUUGACUGAACAUGGGGGGACCAUCCUCCAAGGCUAAAUACUCCUGGCUGACCGAUAGUGAACCAGUACCGUGAGGGAAAGGCGAAAAGAACCCCGGCGAGGGGAGUGAAAUAGAUCCUGAAACCGUAUGCGUACAAGCAGUGGGAGCACCUUCGUGGUGUGACCGCGUACCUUUUGUAUAAUGGGUCAGCGACUUAUAUUCUGUGGCGAGCUUAACCGUAUAGGGGAGGCGUAGCGAAAGCGAGUCUUAACUGGGCGACCAGUCGCAGGGUAUAGACCCGAAACCGGGCGAUCUAUCCAUGGCCAGGGUGAAGAUUGAGUAACAUCAAUUGGAGGCCCGAACCCAAGUAUGUUGAAAAAUGCUGGGAUGAGCUGUGGAUCGGAGUGAAAGGCUAAUCAAGCCCGGAGAUAGCUGGUUCUCCUCGAAAGCUAUUUAGGUAGCGCCUCACGUAUCACCGCUGGGGGUAGAGCACUGUUUCGGCUAGGGGGUCAUCCCGACUUACCAACCCGAGGCAAACUCCGAAUACCAGUGAGUGCAGCGUGGGAGACACACAGCGGGUGCUAACGUCCGUUGUGAAAAGGGAAACAACCCAGACCGUCAGCUAAGGUCCCAAAAUCCUGAUUAAGUGGGAAACGAUGUGGGAAGGCUCAGACAGCUAGGAGGUUGGCUUAGAAGCAGCCAUCCUUUAAAGAAAGCGUAAUAGCUCACUAGUCGAGUCGGCCUGCGCGGAAGAUAUAACGGGGCUAAAUCAGGUACCGAAGCUACGGGUUCAUCCUUAUGGAUGAGCGGUAGAGGAGCGUCGUGUAAGCCAAUGAAGGUGGAUUGAGAAGUCUGCUGGAGGUAUCACGAGUGCGAAUGCUGACAUGAGUAACGAUAAGGGGAGUGAAAAACUCCCCCGCCGGAAGACCAAGGUUUUCUGUUCUACGUUAAUCGGAGCAGAGUGAGUCGGCCCCUAAGGCGAGGCGGAAACGCGUAGUCGAUGGGAAACGGGUUAAUAUUCCCGUACCGGAUGUGGUUGCGAUGGGGGGACGAAGAAGGCUAGGUGAGCCAGGCGUUGGUUGUCCUGGUGAAAGCAUGUAGGCCGAGGAAUCAGGCAAAUCCGGUUCCUCUGAGGUCGAGAUGCGAGACGAACUGACCACGGUCAGGAAGUCAUCGAUGCCACGCUUCCAGGAAAAGCCUCUAAGCUUCAGAUCACAUGCGACCGUACCCCAAACCGACACAGGUGGUCAGGUAGAGAAUACCAAGGCGCUUGAGAGAACUCGGGUGAAGGAACUAGGCAAAAUGGCACCGUAACUUCGGGAGAAGGUGCACCGGUUCGAGUGAAGGACUUGCUCCGUAAGCUCUUACCGGUCGAAGAUACCAGGUGGCUGCAACUGUUUAUUAAAAACACAGCACUCUGCAAACGCGCAAGCGGACGUAUAGGGUGUGACGCCUGCCCGGUGCCGGAAGGUUAAGAGGAGGUGUGCAAGCACCGAAUUGAAGCCCCGGUAAACGGCGGCCGUAACAAUAACGGUCCUAAGGUAGCGAAAUUCCUUGUCGGGUAAGUUCCGACCUGCACGAAUGGCGUAACGACUUCCCCACUGUCUCCAGCAUAGACUCAGCGAAAUUGAAUUCUCCGUGAAGAUGCGGAGUACCCGCGGUCAGACGGAAAGACCCCGUGCACCUUUACUACAGCUUCAGAGUGGUAUUAGGGAUAACAUGUGUAGCAUAGGUGGGAGGCUUUGAAGCCGGGACGCCAGUCCUGGUGGAGCCACCCUUGAAAUACCACCCUUGUUGUUCCUGAUAUCUAACCACGUCCCGUGAACCCGGGACUGGGACCCUCUGUGGCGGGUAGUUUGACUGGGGCGGUCGCCUCCUAAAGAGUAACGGAGGCUCCCAAAGGUACCCUCAGCACGGAUGGCAAUCGUGCGUAGAGUGUAAAAGCAUAAGGGUGCUUGACUGCGAGACAGACACGUCGAGCAGGUACGAAAGUAGGUUCUAGUGAUCCGGUGGUUCUGUAUGGAAGGGCCAUCGCUCAACGGAUAAAAGGUACUCCGGGGAUAACAGGCUGAUACCGCCCAAGAGUUCAUAUCGACGGCGGUGUUUGGCACCUCGAUGUCGGCUCAUCUCAUCCUGGGGCUGGAGCAGGUCCCAAGGGUAUGGCUGUUCGCCAUUUAAAGUGGUACGCGAGCUGGGUUUAGAACGUCGUGAGACAGUUCGGUCCCUAUCUGCCGUGGGCGUCGGAAGUUUGAGAAGAGCUGCUCCUAGUACGAGAGGACCG